AAUUUUAACGACAAGAAUGAGUUUUACUAUAUGACUAUACAUUAAUUAUUAGUCUGUACUGUAAUAUUGUAAAUUUUAUAAAUGGUUGAUUUUGGAAAUGAUUUCUUCCUCAAGAAAAUUGACGGAUUGUAAUGACCGCGCAGCCGCAGCGGUCGAAACGCUCUGCGAACCACCUACUGCUCAAUAUAAAUGGAUCCAACACUAUGCUGACCCACAACGCCCCGAGCUGCUCCCACAGUUGCCUGCAUUUCUCAGUCAUGGGGGUGUUCUGGUUCCGCCAGAGUAGCAACCGAGGGUCCGAGAGGAACUGCUCGGUCAUGAGCAUCAGCAUUCUUGGACCGUUGGAGUCUUGGGCUCGGAGCAUUUCUCUAACCUGGAAAAAUGAUGAGUCGACUUUUGAAAUUCGAUAAUGUAUAAUGUUACUGGCUGAAUAUAUUAACAAAAAAGAAAAAGAAAUGUUACUGUUGAUGUAUAAAAAUCGCAGAUCUGGAGCACCUGAAGAAGAGUCACAAUGGUUCAGGAACUAUAGGAAAUAUAUAUUUCAGUCGUAUGAGCAUCUUCUGUAUAGAAUUUUUCACGUCGCUUCAGUUUCCAUGACAAUGUAUAUAUGAUAAGUAUGACCUGAUGAAACACCCAGGUUUAGCUUGAACGGGAAACUUCUCAACGGUUACGGACAUGAUAUUUUGACUUGUUGAAUGGCGCCGCGCGCUCUUUCUGAUUGCGAUCCUAUCCUGGUUCAAUUGUUUAUAUUAUCUCCAAGAUCGAAGGGUCUCUACUUUACCUGCU
Long non-coding RNA from Plodia interpunctella (Indianmeal moth), 786 nucleotides. RefSeq lists it as uncharacterized. The transcript has 4 exons. The record is from RefSeq and is a predicted model, not a curated record. NCBI's taxonomy places the organism in Eukaryota, Metazoa, Arthropoda, Insecta, Lepidoptera, Pyralidae.